GUGCUUGCUUUGACAGCAGAUAUACUAAAAUUGGAAUGAUAAAGAGAAUGUUAACAUGGCCCCUGCACAAGGAUGGUUACACAUUCUGAAGCAGUCCAUAAAUUU
Molecule: small nuclear RNA, 105 nt
Filed under: Choloepus hoffmanni (Hoffmann's two-fingered sloth)
Lineage: Eukaryota; Metazoa; Chordata; Mammalia; Pilosa; Megalonychidae
Source: RNAcentral